Molecule: RNA transcript, 1377 nt
Organism: Sceloporus undulatus (fence lizard)
Lineage: Eukaryota; Metazoa; Chordata; Lepidosauria; Squamata; Phrynosomatidae
Gene name: zinc finger protein 480-like
Exons: 4
Source: RefSeq, a predicted model, not a curated record
GCCACAGUGACACACAAAACAUGAGAUCCUGGCCCUGGUGAUCCUGACCAUCUUGCCCCCAGAGGAGGAGAAUAGGUCAAGAAAUGUGGGGCAGUGGCCCUGGCAGAGGGUUUCCUCCUGAGUCAGGCAAAGAAGCAGAAAGAGCAGCAGGUGCUCAGAGUCCAAGGUGGGCCUGACUGGUCUCCAGAGUUAUGGAGAGAGAGGGCUCUGCUGAAUUCCUCCUCCAUGGAAGAAACUUUAGGAAAGAUGACCUUGCAAAAGGUGAACAUCCAUCCCUUCUUUCUUUGCCACUCAGGGCCAGCGGUGGUGGGAUUGGGCUCCUAUGCAACACUUGCCCUGCAGGACCCCUCAAGCCUGUCAUCAGGGCUUGCUCUAUAUCCGAGUUAAAAUGAAAUCAAAUGGCUUUUAGACAGGGUUGGUGACAUCACUUUGGUGGACAGAAGCAGGCAAGUGGUCUCGAGCCAUCAUGAAAGGUAACAAUUGCUAAUUGUUUCAUUUGUUAUUCUUACAUUUUUACUGGCAGGGACAGGAAGAGGUAUUCUCUCACCUAUGUGCCAAAAUAGGGAGCAUAAUAGCUAAAGACAUUUUCCAAAUAACAGUAAUUAAAGGUAGUAGAAAUCCAAAUUACCUGCAGGACACUAGAUUGGGAAUUGCUGCCACACAUGCCAGUUAAUGAUUAGGAGGGUCUAAAUGGAAAAAUUCCUGUGUGCCAUAUAUAUAGAACUUCCCUUUACAUGAGAAGGCUAGUUGAUCAGGGAGCCAGGCUAUAGUCCUCAGGUGCUAAUCUUCAAGAUGCAGGAAGUUAAUGAAAACAGACAAGGGGUUAUUCAGACAUGUCCCCAUCUGUCUAUAUGCUGAAGCACUUCAAUACUGCUGGGGGUGCACCAUGGUUUUCCUCCACAUCUGAUGAGUCUCUGUGUGUCUGAGGGCUGCUUCCUGUUGCAGGUGACCUUUAAGGAUGUGGCUGUGUAUUUCACAGAGGAGGAAUGGAACCUUCUGGAUCAGAAGCAAAAAUCUUUGUACAUGCAGAUCACGAUGGAAAACUACGAGAAUGUUUCUGCCGUAGAAAAUCACUGGAGGAAGAUGUAUGUAUGCACUGAUCUGCAUCUUAUGAGCUGCCAGAGAGUCCACAUACCAGGCAAAGAAUACAGAUGGCAAGAUCAUGGGAAAUGUUCUGUUUAUAAUUCACAUAUUGUGAGUUAUACAAUAGACCAAAGAAGACAGGAGCCAUACAGAUGCCAGCACUGUUGGAAGUGUUUUGUUUGGAAGUCACAACUUCUUAUUCAUCAGAGUGUCCACACAGGAGAGAAACCAUUCAAAUGCCAGCAGUGUGGAAAAUGUGUUGCUCUCAAGUCACACCUUAAGAGUCACUUGAAA